GAUGAAGAACGUAGCGAAAUGCGAUAAGUAAUGUGAAUUGCAGAAUUCAGUGAAUCAUCGAAUCUUUGAACGCACCUUGCACCCUUUGGCAUUCCGAAGGGUAUGCUCGUUUGAGUGUCAUUGUACUCUCACACUUCUGAUCCUUUGGAUUGGGAGCGGUGGACUUGGGUGUUGCUGCUUUACUGUGGCUCACCUCAAAUGCAUUCGUGCAACUCUUGGUUGGACAUAGUACGGCGUGAUAAGUAUCUUCGCCGGCACCUCGCAAGCGGGUGGCUGAUCAGGAGCUCUGUGCUUUCCAACUGUCUUCAGACAACAACUGACAACUUGACCUCAAAUCGAGUAGGACCACCCGCUGAACUUAAGCAUAUCAAUAAGCGGAGGA
RNAcentral lists this unclassified non-coding RNA (382 nucleotides) under soil metagenome. Its description in RNAcentral is "partial contains 5.8S ribosomal RNA, internal transcribed spacer 2, and large subunit ribosomal RNA". The stretch from base 1 to 120 matches the Rfam family "5.8S ribosomal RNA", at positions 35 to 154 of the family's 154-position model. The record is from RNAcentral.